GUGGGGAAUAUUGGACAAUGGGCGAAAGCCUGAUCCAGCAAUGCCGCGUGAGUGAUGAAGGCCUUAGGGUUGUAAAGCUCUUUUACCCGGGAUGAUAAUGACAGUACCGGGAGAAUAAGCUCCGGCUAACUCCGUGCCAGCAGCCGCGGUAAUACGGAGGGAGCUAGCGUUGUUCGGAAUUACUGGGCGUAAAGCGCACGUAGGCGGCUUUGUAAGUUAGAGGUGAAAGCCUGGAGCUUAACUCCAGAACUGCAUUUAAGAGAGCAUCGCUUGAAUCUGGGAGAGGUGAGUGGAAUUCCGAGUGUAGGGGUGAAAUUCGUAGAUAUUCGGAAGAACACCAGUGGCGAAGGCGGCUCACUGGACCAGAAUUGACGCUGAGGUGCGAAAGCGUGGGGAGCAAACAGGAUUAGAAACCCUGGUAGUCC
This 425-nucleotide ribosomal RNA is filed under the name uncultured bacterium. Its description in RNAcentral is "partial 16S ribosomal RNA". It matches the Rfam family "Bacterial small subunit ribosomal RNA", at positions 354 to 796 of the family's 1533-position model. The record is from RNAcentral.